AACCAUAGGCCAUGAAUCUGGUCUUGGGACACUGUCAGGUGGGCAGUUUGACUGGGGCGGUCGCCUCCCAAAAGGUAACGGAGGCGCUCAAAGGUUCUCUCAGUACGGUCGGAAAUCGUACGUAGAGGGUAAAGGCAAAAGAGAGCUUGAUUGCAAGACAUACAGGUCGAGCAAGGAUGAAAAUCGGACUUAGUGAUCCGGUGGUUCUGCGUGGAAGGGCCAUCGCUCAACGGAUAAAAGCUACCCUGGGGAUAACAGGCUUAUCUCCCCCAAGAGUCCACAUCGACGGGGAGGUUUGGCACCUCGAUGUCGGC
This 314-nucleotide ribosomal RNA is filed under the name Clostridioides difficile. RNAcentral describes it as "partial 23S ribosomal RNA". It matches the Rfam family "Bacterial large subunit ribosomal RNA", at positions 2223 to 2536 of the family's 2925-position model. The record is from RNAcentral. Lineage: Bacteria; Bacillati; Bacillota; Clostridia; Peptostreptococcales; Peptostreptococcaceae.